GAUGAACGCUGGCGGCGUGCCUAAUACAUGCAAGUCGAGCGAACAGAUGAGGAGCUUGCUCCUCUGACGUUAGCGGCGGACGGGUGAGUAACACGUGGAUAACCUACCUAUAAGACUGGGAUAACUUCGGGAAACCGGAUCUAAUACCGGAUAAUAUAUUGAACCGCAUGGUUCAAUAGUGAAAUACGGUUUUGCUGUCACUUAUAGAUGGAUCCGCGCCGCAUUAGCUAGUUGGUAAGGUAACGGCUUACCAAGGCAACGAUGCGUAGACGACCUGCGAGGGUGAUAGGCCACACUGGAACUGAGACACGGUCCAGACUCCUACGGGAGGCAGCAGUAGGGAAUCUUCCGCAAUGGGCGAAAGCCUGACGGAGCAACGCCGCGUGAGUGAUGAAGGUCUUCGGAUCGUAAAACUCUGUUAUUAGGGAAGAACAAAUGUGUAAGUAACUAUGCACGUCUUGACGGUACCUAAUCAGAAAGCCACGGCUAACUACGUG
RNAcentral lists this ribosomal RNA (497 nucleotides) under uncultured bacterium. Its description in RNAcentral is "partial 16S ribosomal RNA". It matches the Rfam family "Bacterial small subunit ribosomal RNA", at positions 28 to 507 of the family's 1533-position model. The record is from RNAcentral.